AGAGUUUGAUCAUGGCUCAGAUUGAACGCUGGCGGCAGGCCUAACACAUGCAAGUCGAGCGGGGUUUUCGGACCUAGCGGCGGACGGGUGAGUAAUGCGUAGGAAGCUACCCGAUAGAGGGGGAUACCAGUUGGAAACGACUGUUAAUACCGCAUAAUGUCUACGGACCAAAGUGUGGGACCUUCGGGCCACAUGCUAUCGGAUGCGCCUACGUGGGAUUAGCUAGUUGGUGAGGUAAUGGCUCACCAAGGCGACGAUCUCUAGCUGGUUUGAGAGGAUGAUCAGCCACACUGGAACUGAGACACGGUCCAGACUCCUACGGGAGGCAGCAGUGGGGAAUAUUGGACAAUGGGCGCAAGCCUGAUCCAGCCAUGCCGCGUGUGUGAAGAAGGCCUUCGGGUUGUAAAGCACUUUCAGCGAGGAGGAAGGGUGGUGUGUUAAUAGCACAUCAUUUUGACGUUACUCGCAGAAGAAGCACCGGCUAACUCUGUGCCAGCAGCCGCGGUAAUACAGAGGGUGCAAGCGUUAAUCGGAAUUACUGGGCGUAAAGCGCACGUAGGCGGUUUUUUAAGUCAGAUGUGAAAGCCCCGGGCUCAACCUGGGAAUUGCAUUUGAAACUGGAAAACUAGAGUGUGUGAGAGGGGGGUAGAAUUCCAAGUGUAGCGGUGAAAUGCGUAGAGAUUUGGAGGAAUACCAGUGGCGAAGGCGGCCCCCUGGCACAACACUGACGCUCAGGUGCGAAAGCGUGGGGAGCAAACAGGAUUAGAUACCCUGGUAGUCCACGCCGUAAACGAUGUCUACUAGCUGUUCGUGGUCUUGUACUGUGAGUAGCGCAGCUAACGCACUAAGUAGACCGCCUGGGGAGUACGGUCGCAAGAUUAAAACUCAAAUGAAUUGACGGGGGCCCGCACAAGCGGUGGAGCAUGUGGUUUAAUUCGACGCAACGCGAAGAACCUUACCUACUCUUGACAUCUA
RNAcentral lists this ribosomal RNA (975 nucleotides) under Acinetobacter sp. PT1. RNAcentral's name for it is "bacterial SSU rRNA". It matches the Rfam family "Bacterial small subunit ribosomal RNA", at positions 8 to 990 of the family's 1533-position model. Lineage: Bacteria; Pseudomonadati; Pseudomonadota; Gammaproteobacteria; Moraxellales; Moraxellaceae. The record is from RNAcentral.